GAUGAACGCUGGCGGCGUGCCUAAUACAUGCAAGUCGAGCGAACAGACGAGGAGCUUGCUCCUCUGACGUUAGCGGCGGACGGGUGAGUAACACGUGGAUAACCUACCUAUAAGACUGGGAUAACUUCAGGAAACCGGAGCUAAUACCGUAUAAUAUAUUGAACCGCAUGGUUCAAUAGUGAAAGACGGUUUUGCUGUCACUUAUAGAUGGAUCCGCGCCGCAUUAGCUAGUUGGUAAGGUAACGGCUUACCAAGGCAACGAUGCGUAGCCGACCUGAGAGGGUGAUCGGCCACACGGGAACUGAGACACGGUCCAGACUCCUACGGGAGGCAGCAGUAGGGAAUCUUACGCAAUGGGCGAAAGCCUGACGGAGCAACGCCGCGUGAGUGAUGAAGGUCUUCGGAUCGUAAAAAUCUGUUAUUAGGGAAGAACAAAUGUGUAAGUAACUAUGCACGUCUUGACGGUACCUAAUCAGAAAGCCACGGCUAACUACGUG
This 497-nucleotide ribosomal RNA is filed under the name uncultured bacterium. Its description in RNAcentral is "partial 16S ribosomal RNA". It matches the Rfam family "Bacterial small subunit ribosomal RNA", at positions 28 to 507 of the family's 1533-position model. The record is from RNAcentral.